CAGUGGAGUGGUCGGAAUCUCGGGGGCUGUCUAAUGGUGUUCAUGGAAAGCUAAAAAUUCUUGUACUCAGGCUCCUCGGGGAGUGUGCCUGAGAGCUAAAAAGUAGAACAGUUGUUGUGUUCCGCUCUAAAGAAUGAGUAAUUUUCAUGACAGGAAAAAUCCUGAAUAAGCAAAGCCUGCAUCAGCUUAGACAGAAUAGAGCUUCUCAAACUGUCAAAGUAUAUAGAGAACUUGUUGUACAAAAUCUAAAUUUCUUCCCGUGCUCCUGAAAUGAAAAUAAUAGUUGUAGGGUGAAAAUUUGAAGAUAUUCCCUAAUUUAUGCUCAUUAUAAGAAACAAAAUUGUCAUCCAAUUUGAAAUAAAAGGCAAUCGAGCAGCAUCCGAUGUUCUAGGAUGGGGAAAGUAAAUAUAUGUUUUGACAACAGCUUCCUUUUGUAAAAUUUGUUUAGAUGGCUUCGUCUCCUUUUCCUGUAACUUUGAGUUUCUGUAUCAGCUUUAUUCCUGAAAAUACGUAUUUCGUCUGAAGAAAUUCAUCUGCUUUAGCCAGUGUAGUUGAGGGAGGUUGGCGAGCUUGGCGUUAGCAAGUGUGUAAUGGUGAGUAGGUAUUUUGGUGGUUGUUUGCAUGUCAGUAUAGUAGGGAGGAGGUUAAAUGAGGAGAAGAAAUAAUCUUCUAAGAUUCUUUAAGACAGAAUAACCAACAGCAGCUAGCUUGUGCUUUGAGGUUUAAGAUCCCUUUGUGGGGAAUUGCAGGUAAUAAAACAGAAGCUUAUGCUUUACCUGCACAGGAACCUUUGACUAGAUCGAGAAAAAGGAGGUCAUUUUUGUUUUUCCCUGCUGGACUCCAAUAUAUGAGAUGUGAAAACCUUAUCUGGCUUUUCUAGGUCUUCUUUUCAAUAUGAUCCUUAUGAAUAGAAUGAUGCCACGAGUACUAGGUAGAAGUUGCAUUAUCAAAAAAGAGUACUAGGUAGAAGUUGUCAGUUUUCUUUUUCUUUGUUAGAUAAAUAAAAGCAGCACUUCUGUCUAAUGUGUCCAAAUAGAAAUUUCAUUGGGUAGGACUGUAGGAAGCAUUUUGCUAUCAAAAGAUAAUCCUCAGAAGCUUGAUAUCUUUUCUAAUACUUCAAAAUCUGUAAUCUGUUAGGUUGAGACUGAUAAAGGUGGUGAUGAGGUAGUUUAGGACUCCUGUAAAUUAGAUCACUCUUUUAUGCGAAUUGUUGAAAAUGUUGUAUCUUCCUGCAGAUUGCAGCAAUAUCUCAGCAAGCUUCUGAAACAGAAGGAGAAACUCAAGAAAGUUAUUCAAAUCCAUUGGGAUCAUUUGAUAUAAGGGCCGUAGUCUCUGCUACAGAAGAUCUUCUCCAAUUUAUUUUAUCAGACAAGGGUUCAAGGGUCCGUGUAUUCCUUGUCAGGGACAUAGUUAAAGCAGCUGAUGUUUUCUAUCAAGAUGAAGUUCUAAAUGAUCUUCUUGAUGAGAAGCUUCGUGCGAGACGUUUAUUUGGAUAUGAGGAGCAUGGUAUUCUAGUUCGUGUGAUGAGUGGGUUUCGUUCUCUAGGACGUGCAGUGAAAUUGGCUCCGGAUUUGUGGUCAGCAAUGCUGAUUCGCAUGGUGGUGAAACCAGAGUUCCAGAAAUUUGCUUUUGACAUUGGUUCAGCGUUAACCAGUCAUUUCAAGUGUCAACUUCCGGUCAGCUUUUGGAUGGGUAUUUCCAGGCUACUGCAUAGGGUGGUUGAUAAAAACGAAGCUGAAGUAUCAUGAUGUAGCAAAGGUUGGUGCUCUCGUUUUUGUAUCCAUGGUUAUGCCCUUGUUAUUUUUCCCAGCGGAUGCUUGGAAUGAGAGUUUUUGAGUAGGGAAUGAAAAUUAACUCCAAGAUUAUAGAGAAAUUGCAAAUAUUAUGCCUCAAAUGCGGGUUCAAGCACUCUGCCUGUUCUUCUGCGUUUGGAUCUUACAGAGUAUCUGCUUUCGUUUUCUGGAUGGUGGGACAGAAAGAAGAGCGUCCCAUCCAGCAAAUGUCAAUUCAUUAUACAAACAUUAACAGGAUCAAGAGGGAAAAGCACACUAUACACUCCAAAAAGAGAGAACGGUCUUCAACUGCGCUAUAGGCAUUCUACAAAUGUCAAUUUCAUUUUAAUAACGUAAUAGUAUCAAGAGGAUUGUAUAGUUCCACCGAGGUUUCUAAGAAGUACUGCAAAUUCUGCAGUGUCUCCGCACGUUGGAGUUGGUUAUAUAGCCUAUAGCUUUGUGAUAGUCUGAACUCUUGUCUGUAUGGUGCAUAAUACACUUUUCAUGUAUUUCCACAUCUGGUUUCUUGCCGGAGCCUGUCUUUUUCAA
Molecule: non-coding RNA, 2321 nt
Organism: Nicotiana tabacum (common tobacco)
Lineage: Eukaryota; Viridiplantae; Streptophyta; Magnoliopsida; Solanales; Solanaceae
Source: RefSeq, a predicted model, not a curated record